ACAAUAGUACAGAGAUUAAAGCAUGGCAGCUCUAGGGUCCAUUUGGCCACCAGUCCACUUCACUUUUCCUCUGCUCACCACGCGCAAGUCCCCAUCCUAUGUGGCCCCAGAUGCCGCGUUUCUCACAGCCUUUUUCUUGUAUUCCUAUCUAAAACCUUGCGAGUCCAUUUGGAACUUUUAGAUUAUCCGACAGAUGCCUGAUCGCACACUUUUGACCGCUGGAUGCAUGAAGAUGUAUAUUCUCAGACAAACUAAAAAAAACUACUAACACUAAGCGUUAAUCUAGAUCAAAAGAGGCACAUGGACGUAUCCCAGAAAAAUGGAGAAAUUAUAUCCCAUGCCACGUGCAUAAAUGGUUGUGCAUGCUGACAUUCGUAGCUGCUUAUUCCCAUAGUGAUACACUUAAUGUAUGAUAUUCAAAUAAAUGAGUGGAUGUAAUUGACAAGGUGCACCACUGCAUGAUACACGCUAUAUAGAAUAUAAUUUUUUCAAAAUGUGGCUUGCUUUUAGCAUGUUGGGGAAUGGAUUUUCUGAGUGCUGUGUAUGC
RNAcentral lists this long non-coding RNA (547 nucleotides) under Elaeis guineensis (African oil palm). RNAcentral's name for it is "long non-coding RNA (EGUI_LNC015850)". The record is from RNAcentral. Lineage: Eukaryota; Viridiplantae; Streptophyta; Magnoliopsida; Arecales; Arecaceae.